AUGUUAUGCUUCGGACACUGUGUCAACUUCUUCUUGAACCUCUCCCAAGUUUCAUGUAAAACCUUAUUCGGGAGCUGUCUAAAAUUGUUGAUCUCAUCCCUCAACUU
Non-coding RNA from Capsicum annuum, 107 nucleotides. The record is from Rfam. Lineage: Eukaryota; Viridiplantae; Streptophyta; Magnoliopsida; Solanales; Solanaceae.